Molecule: long non-coding RNA, 291 nt
Organism: Corvus hawaiiensis (hawaiian crow)
Lineage: Eukaryota; Metazoa; Chordata; Aves; Passeriformes; Corvidae
Exons: 2
Source: RefSeq, a predicted model, not a curated record
GGUGAAUUACCCUCACUGUAUUUUAUUUUAUUUUAUUUUAUUUUAUUUUAUUUUAUUUUAUUUUAUUUUAGUUAGAAAAGAAGAAAGAAGCUACUAAGAAAAAAAUGCUGGCUUUAGAACAGUGGGAAAGGAGCCAUGAUUCUUCCAAGCUAUCUGAAAUAAUUUCCAGCUGAGAAGAUAGAACUGGACUCCAUAUGCUGAUUGUAAAUCUUUUUCUAUCUAGAGCACUUACAAAGAGAGCACUAAGUAUUAAAUUACCUUUUCAGGAAAUAAAAGAGCAGCUUUUGUUAA